This 505-nucleotide ribosomal RNA is filed under the name uncultured bacterium. RNAcentral's name for it is "bacterial SSU rRNA". It matches the Rfam family "Bacterial small subunit ribosomal RNA", at positions 15 to 518 of the family's 1533-position model. The record is from RNAcentral.
GAUCAUGGCUCAGGAUGAACGCUGGCGGCGUGCCUAACACAUGCAAGUCGAGCGAGAAGUUCACAAGAAAUCUUCGGAAGACCGAGUGAGCGGAAAGCGGCGGACGGGUGAGUAACGCGUAGGUAACCUGCCCUGUACAAAGGGAUAGCCACUGGAAACGGUGAUUAAUACCUUAUGAAACCGGACAGUCACAUGGCUGACCGGUCAAAGAUUUUAUCGGUACAGGAUGGACCUGCGUCUGAUUAGUUAGUUGGUGAGGUAACGGCUCACCAAGGCGACGAUCAGUAGCCGACCUGAGAGGGUGAUCGGCCACAUUGGAACUGAGACACGGUCCAAACUCCUACGGGAGGCAGCAGUGGGGAAUAUUGCACAAUGGGCGCAAGCCUGAUGCAGCAACGCCGCGUGAACGAAGAAGGCUCUUGGGUCGUAAAGUUCUGUUCUGAGGGAAGAAGAAAGUGACGGUACCUCAGGAGAAAGCCCCGGCUAACUACGUGCCAGCCGCCGC